GGAAGUUUAGGAAGAGGGUGAACAAUUUCUCAGCUGUUGAGUCAGCAUUUGGACAGUGAGGGAAUUCCACCAUUGAAUCUCCAGCACUCUCAGGGGAAAAUUGAUCCUGUGGGUAUAAGACCUCAAAUGUUCCAGCUUGUCUCAAGGCUGUGGCCUCCCCGUGUGGGACCCAGGCAGAGCUGAUUUUCAGGACAGCUGCUGGGUUUGGCUUUCCUUGUGGACAAUUUCUUCUCCGGAACCCUUGCUUACUUCUCCAU
Long non-coding RNA from Zonotrichia albicollis (white-throated sparrow), 257 nucleotides. RefSeq lists it as uncharacterized. The record is from RefSeq and is a predicted model, not a curated record. NCBI's taxonomy places the organism in Eukaryota, Metazoa, Chordata, Aves, Passeriformes, Passerellidae.